GUGCCAGCCGCCGCGGUAAUACGGAGGGUGCAAGCGUUAAUCGGAAUCACUGGGCGUAAAGCGCACGUAGGCGGUGCCGUAAGUCGGAUGUGAAAGCCCUCGGCUCAACCGGGGAACUGCAUUCGAUACUGCGGUGCUUGAGUGUCGGAGAGGGUGGCGGAAUUCCAGGUGUAGGAGUGAAAUCCGUAGAUAUCUGGAGGAACACCAGUGGCGAAGGCGGCCACCUGGCCGACAACUGACGCUGAGGUGC
Molecule: ribosomal RNA, 250 nt
Filed under: uncultured bacterium
Lineage: Bacteria
Description: partial 16S ribosomal RNA
Rfam family: Bacterial small subunit ribosomal RNA
Source: RNAcentral